AACCUAAAGAAUUAAGGUCUCCCUCAAAAUAGGGCCUCGGGAACUCCACGACUACAUGUCCCGGAAAGCCCUGCGCGCGGGUUCUCCUUCCGGCUAGUUUCUCCUGACUUCCUGGCAGCCCCAGGCGACUGAGACCGGGACGGAAACUCAGAGGUAACUCUUCACUCGUCAGAGAUCCUGAGUGUGAGACGGAUUUCCGCACAUGCGCAGUCGAUGCCGCAGUGCCUAGUCGACGUCUAGGUAGCGGCGCUGCUGGUCCGUGAGCGUCUGGUGCUAGGGACAGAUGAUGAAGACAGGUACCAGCCUAGGCACUGGGAAUCAGCUCCGAUUCUAGUGGUGGGAAAACAGACAUUAACCAAAAGAGUAGGCGCUAAGAAGGACUGCAGCUGGAGACUCCUAGUGAAUUCUGCCUUCAGCUGUGUGUGAACUUUGCCAGGUCUAUUAGUGCCCGCUAACCAAAGACCACCAGAGAGAGCUGGGGAAGGUCAGAGGGAGAGAGAAUCUUAAGCAGGCUCCAUGCCCAGCACAGAGCCCAAUGCGGGGCUCAGUCUCACAACCCUGAGAUCAUGACCUGAGCUGAAAUCAAGAGUCAGACACUUAACCAACUGAGCCACCCAGAUGCCCCUCCCUUUAGGUGUACAACAUAGUGAUUCGACAAUGCUGUACAUUAUGCUUUGUUCGCCAUGGCAGACACCUGUGGCUCAGCAUGAAGAAUCUACCACCAAGCCCACAAGCCCAGACAUGGUUACCUUUUUGCGUGGCCGAAGCUUGUCCCGCCAUUCCUUCAGGUUCUGGUUAUGGCUCUCAUCUAGAGCCUUCAGCUUCUGGGUUUCAUGUUCUACCAGGAGGUGACACUUUUCAUUCUGGAACAAAUUCCAGGCAGAACAGGAGAAAUUUGUAGUAAGGAUGAGGACAUGGACCUGACUGAGACACUCCCAACAUUACCGUUCUCUCUCUGAGAAAUUGCCAAAUGGAUCCAAUAGCCUGACCAAUUUCCGGAAAUCAGAGGUUUGAGUCGGCCCAUCCCUCAGCCACAGGGAGCUGGUGUCAGAUGAAGACCUCAUGCCCUGCAAGACACAGAGCGGGCUGUGCUCAACCCACUAAGAAUGGUCAGUUUAUCGCACUGCAUUCCGAUCUGUGAAAACCGGUAGCCACCCACAGUACAUCGGAACGGUGAUUUGGCUUCCUGACCAAAAUCAGAACCACUGCCCCACAAGUAGGGUGGUUCUUCUGGACAUCAUGGGACAAAAAAAGAAAAUGCGGGCUUUCCUGAAACAUCUAUGGCUCCUCAGAACGUCAGAACAUGCAGGACCCCAUUUUGCUGGCCCGCACCCAAGUACUGAGGGGUCUACACUGCUCAGCUGUGUGGGCCAUCACAGCGCUGGCUGUAGCUUCUUCGUUGUGUCAGGAAGCCGGAGACGGUGCUGGUACCCUGGCCCUAUGUCUUUUACCUCUUCACGACAGGCUGCACCGUUGGCUCAAAAGCCCACAGGUGCCACACUCAAAUCUUCACCCAUCCAACUGUUUUACAUGUAGCUCAAACAACAGAUCUUUGGCCAUUUAGAGCCCACUUGCUUUGCACACCCACACAAAACUGCACCAAACAUCUGCUAGGCAGAGAUGAGAUAAAGCCAGGGCUAUAGAAAGACCCUAAGGCCUGCUGCCCUUCAAAGCUCUACCCUAGGACCCCCUGCUGAGUGACCCCAUCCAGAUACAGAAGCCCUCCCUCCCCAGGAGUUCCUCUGCCCUCCCUCUGGGAGUGGCCCACACUGGGGUCUCCGGAAGAUCCCGUGCUGUGAGGGACCCGCCAGCGUGCAAACCUGUCAGAGCCCCACCACACCAGGGUGGUUAGGAGCUCAGCUUCAAGAGGAGACCCGUGGUCAAGGCCCACUCUACCACCCAUUAGCCAAGCAACCUCAGCCAAAGCACAGUCGCUCUGCAAGCAUCUGUUUUCUCGUCUACAAAAAUGCCUCAUUGCAUUAAGGUGAAGAUUCAAGGAGACUGAGCCAUGAAGACUGGCAUACGGCCUGGCAAAGCAGUCGCUCGAUAUACAAUAGCUCUUAUAAGGGGCUCAAUACUGUCCCCACUCCCGGCAGCCUGUUCACCCGGUGUACUUAUUUACAAUUUCUACCCACCCUAAAUCCCUCCCUCCCUUAUCAGGAAUACUGUUGGUGACAACUGGUAUCUGUGCCUCAGUCCUGACUUUAGUGGGGGUUGUCCCCAUGUUUCACUCUGAAGGAUGCUGUUUGGUGUUAGGAUGGAGAAGAACCUAGCAGUUCCUAGCAGAGCCCACUCUCUGGCACCCACCUCGAAG
Long non-coding RNA from Mirounga angustirostris (Northern elephant seal), 2314 nucleotides. RefSeq lists it as uncharacterized. The record is from RefSeq and is a predicted model, not a curated record. The transcript is spliced from 8 exons. Lineage: Eukaryota; Metazoa; Chordata; Mammalia; Carnivora; Phocidae.